UGGGGAAUAUUGCACAAUGGGCGAAAGCCUGAUGCAGCAACGCCGCGUGAAGGAUGAAGGCCUUUGGGUCGUAAACUUCUGUCCUUGGGGAAGAAAAAAAUGACGGUACCCCUGGAGGAAGUCCCGGCUAACUACGUGCCAGCAGCCGCGGUAAUACGUAGGGGGCGAGCGUUAUCCGGAAUUAUUGGGCGUAAAGAGUACGUAGGUGGUUUUUUAAGCGCAGGGUUUAAGGCGAUGCUCAACUGUCGUUCGCCCUGUGAACUGGAAGACUUGAGUACAGGAGAGGAAAGCGGAAUUCCUAGUGUAGCGGUGAAAUGCAUAGAUAUUAGGAGGAACACCGGUGGCGAAGGCGACUUUCUGGCCCUAUACUGACGCUGAGACGCGAGAGCGUGGGUAGCAAACA
RNAcentral lists this ribosomal RNA (403 nucleotides) under uncultured prokaryote. RNAcentral describes it as "bacterial SSU rRNA". It matches the Rfam family "Bacterial small subunit ribosomal RNA", at positions 355 to 774 of the family's 1533-position model. The record is from RNAcentral.